UACAUCCUCUGAAAACCCUAGAGAUAAGUAUUUCCUUCGGGAGCAGAGUGACAGGUGGUGCAUGGUUGUCGUCAGCUCGUGUCGUGAGAUGUUGGGUUAAGUCCCGCAACGAGCGCAACCCUUGAUCUUAGUUGCCAUCAUUAAGUUGGGCACUCUAAGGUGACUGCCGGUGACAAACCGGAGGAAGGUGGGGAUGACGUCAAAUCAUCAUGCCCCUUAUGACCUGGGCUACACACGUGCUACAAUGGACGGUACAAAGAGCUGCAAGACCGCGAGGUGGAGCUAAUCUCAUAAAACCGUUCUCAGUUCGGAUUGUAGGCUGCAACUCGCCUACAUGAAGCUGGAAUCGCUAGUAAUCGCGGAUCAGCAUGCCGCGGUGAAUACGUUCCCGGGCCUUGUACACACCGCCCGUCACACCACGAGAGUUUGUAACACCCGAAGUCUUGGGGUUAAGUUGUGGACCCAGCCGCCCAAGGUGGGCCAGAUGCUUGGGGCGACGUCGUCCCAAGGAAUCCAUGGG
Molecule: ribosomal RNA, 520 nt
Filed under: Bacillus cereus
Lineage: Bacteria; Bacillati; Bacillota; Bacilli; Caryophanales; Bacillaceae
Description: bacterial SSU rRNA
Rfam family: Bacterial small subunit ribosomal RNA
Source: RNAcentral